Long non-coding RNA from Sceloporus undulatus (fence lizard), 1316 nucleotides. RefSeq lists it as uncharacterized. The record is from RefSeq and is a predicted model, not a curated record. Lineage: Eukaryota; Metazoa; Chordata; Lepidosauria; Squamata; Phrynosomatidae. The transcript is spliced from 4 exons.
GCCACUUCCUGGUUGGAGGCCAAUGUCCCGGGCAGUAAAGCUGGGAAGAGGAGGAGGAGGAGGAGGAGGAAGGAGGAGAAGUAGAGCGAGGCCCCUGAAGGAGCCGAGGACAUGUCUACCUCUGAGAGAUCUUGGACGAGAUACCUUGGUUUAAUACCUGUCUGGGAUUAUAUGCAAAGAGUUUACCAGUCAUGAGUUAAAGAAAGAUGUUCAUUCUCAACUUGAUCAGAGUGAUGGCAUUUGUGGUUCUUCACACAACUGUUCUGUGGGACAAGUUGGGCAGAAAGAUAGUACCUGCCCCAACAUCAUACAGUGAAGUUUGUGCCUGUUAUAUUCUCUUUAAGAGCUCUAGUCUUAAUUUGUUUGUCACAGUAUGGCAUACUAGAUAACGUACAUUUAUCUGUUCACAUGUGUGUUUUGGUUAUAAGUUGACUUUUUUUAAAAAACACUAAUUCUUGGAGCAUUAAAACAAUGUACAAAACCUGCCUUCUAUUCAUGUUCAGGACUGGUUUGGGAUUGAAUGCUCCAGAACACAUGCCUCUUAAGGUUCAAUUGUGUGGCUCAUAGUCUCUUACUAGAUGUCUGACAAGCUUAAAUACAUAGCAGGAGAAAUAGGGUUCCAGCACUCAGAGCUAUACAGAGUUUUCAAAACAAAGCAGAAAAGCAGGCAUGUUUUCAGCGGAACCCAGUUUCCAUUAUGGGUUCUAUGUUUUCAUGUCAAAAAGUAUCAAGUGUUUGGCUAAAUUCUUAAUGCACUACAGUAAUAGUUCCACAACCAAAGAAUAUAAUUCAGACCAGUCUUAGGAAUGUGAUCUUACUCACCUGCCCUUUCUUACCAUGUGCUUCAGAAGUAAAAACCUACAACUGAAUGUUCCUAGCUAGUAAAAGGCAAUGCACCUCUUUCUUUACUACUUGAAGAGGCAAAAAGUGCAUGUAUAUGUGCAUUUUCAUGAGAACCGCCUAGGCCUUUCUGUUUUGGGAUAGUACAGCAAAGGCAAAACCCCUUCUGAACAAAUCUUGCUAAGAACACCCCAUAAAUUGGAAAUGACUUGUAGGCACACAACAACAACAGCAACAGAUACAAUAAAACUAUUUUCAUCCUCUCUGGAUUAUUUGGAAUAUAGCUGAAGAAUGUAACUGGCCAGCUGUGAAAGGUUGUCACACUGAAGCAGAAUGGUUUUCUGUUUUUCCAGAAGACAGAACUAGAAUCAACAUGUGGAAAAUUCAGGGUAGCAAAUUUUGGCUAAACAUUAGGAAAAAACUUCUACCUAUUGAAAAUGCUUGGCAGUGCAGCAGUCAGAAGGUGAUGGGAUCCC